Molecule: ribosomal RNA, 254 nt
Filed under: uncultured bacterium
Lineage: Bacteria
Description: partial 16S ribosomal RNA
Rfam family: Bacterial small subunit ribosomal RNA
Source: RNAcentral
UACGUAGGGUGCGAGCGUUGUCCGGAAUUAUUGGGCGUAAAGAGCUCGUAGGCGGUUCAGUCAGUUGGGUGUGAAAACUCCGGGCUUAACUCGGAGGGGCCACCCAAUACUGCUGUGACUUGAGUCCGGUAGGGGAGUGGGGAAUUCCUGGUGUAGCGGUGAAAUGCGCAGAUAUCAGGAGGAACACCGGUGGCGAAGGCGCCACUCUGGGCCGGUACUGACGCUGAGGAGCGAAAGCGUGGGGAGCAAACAGG